CCAUCCUGCAUAGCACCAAACAUGCCUUCGAACUCUGGGAGACCAAGACCACCUAACCCAACAGGUGCCUGUGGCCUAGCAUCCGCACUAGCAUUUGACCUUGUUGUAUUAGUUUGGGCACCUCCGGCUGCCAGAUUUUCAGUCAAUCAAUAGCUUAUUGGUAAUAGUUCUCUAAGUCAUUUUUUCAAACUGGGAACUAUAACUCAUAAAUCAUCAUCUGAAAGCAAAUCAGCAGAACUAUAGCACAGAUAACUGCUUCAAAAGUAGAACAUUCUGAAGAAUGGAAAGGCAAGAAGUUGCAAGAAAGCAAGAGCUUACUAGCAGCAGAAGACCAAGGGUUUGGUAGUGGAUUAGUAUUGGGAGCAGGAGAAUUGGCAUUAGUUCCAGAAGUGGGUGUGGACUGGUUGGUUGAUCCAUCUCUGGCUUGGUUUCCUCCUUGAGUUCCCAAGAGGGCUGCAAAUGGGUUUGCGCU
Molecule: long non-coding RNA, 472 nt
Filed under: Theobroma cacao (cacao)
Lineage: Eukaryota; Viridiplantae; Streptophyta; Magnoliopsida; Malvales; Malvaceae
Description: long non-coding RNA (TCAC_LNC000006)
Source: RNAcentral